This 492-nucleotide ribosomal RNA is filed under the name uncultured bacterium. RNAcentral's name for it is "partial 16S ribosomal RNA". It matches the Rfam family "Bacterial small subunit ribosomal RNA", at positions 29 to 507 of the family's 1533-position model. The record is from RNAcentral.
AGUGAACGCUGGCGGUAGGCCUAACACAUGCAAGUCGAACGGCAGCACAGUAAGAGCUUGCUCUUACGGGUGGCGAGUGGCGGACGGGUGAGGAAUACAUCGGAAUCUACUUUUUCGUGGGGGAUAACGUAGGGAAACUUACGCUAAUACCGCAUACGACCUACGGGUGAAAGCAGGGGAUCUUCGGACCUUGCGCGAUUGAAUGAGCCGAUGUCGGAUUAGCUAGUUGGCGGGGUAAAGGCCCACCAAGGCGACGAUCCGUUGCUGGUCUGAGAGGAUGAUCAGCCACACUGGAACUGAGACACGGUCCAGACUCCUACGGGAGGCAGCAGUGGGGAAUAUUCGACAAUGGGCGCAAGCCUGAUCCAGCCAUACCGCGUGGGUGAAGAAGGCCUUCGGGUUGUAAAGCCCUUUUGUUGGGAAAGAAAAGCAGCAGGUUAAUACCCCGCUGUUCUGACGGUACCCAAAGAAUAAGCACCGGCUAACUUCGUG